AUGGCUUUAAUUUAUGGUAAACUUUUACAGGGAAAAAAGAAGAAAAUCAUCAAGGAGAGUGAAAAAGGUACCUUUUCGAUGUUAAAAGAAAAAUGCGGAGAGAGUGGCUCAUCAUCAUCUGAACAAUUGGAUUCUGGAGAUGAGCUUAUCAACAAGAAUAAGUAUGAUGAACUUUUGCGAGACUACAGAAACUCAGAAAAGGCCAAUGAAAAAUUGGAAAAUGAAUUAUCUCGUUCGAAAAAGAGGGUUGAAAAAUUAGAGGACACGAACGAAAAACUUUCAAAUGACUUGAGCUGUCAAAGUAAGAAGAUGGCUAUGAUUGAAAAUCUCAACUUUCAAUAUCAAGCCAAAAUGUUAGCAGACAAGGCAGAUACAAAGGUCCCAAGUAGUCAGGUGAAAAGUCGGAAUCCUUUACCAACGACUCCAUUGCUGUCCAGCACUCCAAGUGCAAAAAAAGUCUUGUUCCCUGAAGAGAAAAAUCAAGAUAAUGUUGUUUCUUCUCCCUCAAAGUCGAUUUGGAGGGUAUCAAGCCCAAAGGCUCUGUCCCCAAUAUGUGCGUCUGAAUCAAAGGCUCUGUCCCCAAUAUGUGUGUCUGAAUCGUCGCCAACAAAAAUCAUCGAACUGGAAGAACCCGCACCACCUUCCAAGAAACCACGGUUGCUUUUGAAUGUGACACCGAAAAAGAUGAAGAAGGUUUUAUUGAAUGUAAAAGAUCAGAAACGCGGAGACAGCCAGUUUGUGAAAAAUUUGGCUCAUGUUGUUUUUGGGGUACCACUUCUUAUUGCUUCAUCUGUGACAGGAAAAACCUACAAUCAAGACAAGUUCGCUAAAACCUAUCCAGCUCUCCCAAAAGAGGGUGUUGAGUAUAUUAAAGAAUGCUUCAAUGACCGAAUGAAGAAGGAAACUCCAGUCCCAUCAAAAGCAGAAAUGGAAAUAAGGGUGGAAAAAGUAAAGACCUACCUUAGCGAAAAAAUCAAAGACCUCCGGCGCGCCCUCAAAAAUUGCAAAAAAGUUUCAAAAGAAACAUUGGAAGCAGUUAAUAAGGAAGAAACAUCAGAAGCAGUUAAGGAAGAAACAUCAGAAGCAGUUAAUAUGGAAACAUCAGAAGCAGUUAAAAAUGAAACAUUGGAAGCCGUUCAGGAAGAAAGCUAAGUAGGAAAGCUAAGUUGGGUACUUAGCGACUACUCAUUUGUACGUAUCAAACUGCAUUUUCUUAAAAUAGUUCAUAGCACCCAACAUAGGUGAUGUUCACCGCAAGAAAAGAUUUUUCAAAUAUUAUAAUACCUAUUAAUUUUAAUCAUUUUGUAAAAGAAGUUUCCAAUUUCAUUUUGCUGUACUUUUUAUAAUACAUUUCAUAGACAUUUCAAUAUGAUUCCUUUCAUUUUAAACUAAAAAAAUAAAAUUUGACAUAUUUCUGCCAAAAGGAACUAUGUGCAUUAAGACAUAAACCCUGAGACCCAUAAGACUUAUUGCAUAACAGAGCUCACGUCAUAAUGCACCUAGUUUUGUUUGGCAGAAAUACGUGCAAAUGUCCAUAGGGGCACAUGUUAAAUCGGCCUCUGUGGGAAUCGAACCUCUCAUGAUUGCCCAUGAAAUUUGUUGUCUGUACGGGGAACCGUGGUUUUUCACAGGCCUGAAUAUCAUGUGCCCCAUGGGAUACGUCAUUCCCAUGUGCUCCCAUGGGGACACUUACUGCCCAUAGGCCCCAUGGGGAGACCACGUUCCCUUGGGCCCCCAUGGGGAGACCUCGUUCCCUUGGGCCCCAUGGGGAGACCUCGUUCCCAUGGGCCCCCAUGGGGAGACCUCGUUCCCAUGGGCCCCCUGAGU
This 1827-nucleotide long non-coding RNA is filed under the name Bemisia tabaci. Its description in RNAcentral is "lncRNA ENSSSA1UGG002041". Lineage: Eukaryota; Metazoa; Arthropoda; Insecta; Hemiptera; Aleyrodidae. The record is from RNAcentral.